Molecule: ribosomal RNA, 361 nt
Filed under: Salmonella enterica subsp. enterica serovar Abaetetuba
Lineage: Bacteria; Pseudomonadati; Pseudomonadota; Gammaproteobacteria; Enterobacterales; Enterobacteriaceae
Description: bacterial SSU rRNA
Rfam family: Bacterial small subunit ribosomal RNA
Source: RNAcentral
AAAUUGAAGAGUUUGAUCAUGGCUCAGAUUGAACGCUGGCGGCAGGCCUAACACAUGCAAGUCGAACGGUAGCACAGAGAGCUUGCUCUCGGGUGACGAGUGGCGGACGGGUGAGUAAUGUCUGGGAAACUGCCUGAUGGAGGGGGAUAACUACUGGAAACGGUGGCUAAUACCGCAUAACGUCGCAAGACCAAAGAGGGGGACCUUCGGGCCUCUUGCCAUCAGAUGUGCCCAGAUGGGAUUAGCUUGUUGGUGAGGUAACGGCUCACCAAGGCGACGAUCCCUAGCUGGUCUGAGAGGAUGACCAGCCACACUGGAACUGAGACACGGUCCAGACUCCUACGGGAGGCAGCAGUGGGGA